This 465-nucleotide ribosomal RNA is filed under the name uncultured bacterium. RNAcentral describes it as "partial 16S ribosomal RNA". It matches the Rfam family "Bacterial small subunit ribosomal RNA", at positions 28 to 507 of the family's 1533-position model. The record is from RNAcentral.
GACGAACGCUGGCGGCGUGCUUAACACAUGCAAGUCGAACGGAAAGGCCCUGCUUGCAGGGUACUCGAGUGGCGAACGGGUGAGUAGCACGUGGGUGAUCUGCCCUGCACUUCGGGAUAAGCCUGGGAAACUGGGUCUAAUACCGGAUAGGAGCCAUUUUUAGUGUGAUGGUUGGAAAGUUUUUUCGGUGUAGGAUGAGCUCGCGGCCUAUCAGCUUGUUGGUGGGGUAAUGGCCUACCAAGGCGGCGACGGGUAGCCGGCCUGAGAGGGUGGACGGCCACAUUGGGACUGAGAUACGGCCCAGACUCCUACGGGAGGCAGCAGUGGGGAAUAUUGCACAAUGGGCGCAAGCCUGAUGCAGCGACGCCGCGUGGGGGAUGACGGCCUUCGGGUUGUAAACUCCUUUCGCUAGGGACGAAGCUUUUUGUGACGGUACCUAGAUAAGAAGCACCGGCUAACUACGUG